Molecule: ribosomal RNA, 428 nt
Filed under: Wugigarra undanbi
Lineage: Eukaryota; Metazoa; Arthropoda; Arachnida; Araneae; Pholcidae
Description: partial 16S ribosomal RNA
Rfam family: Bacterial large subunit ribosomal RNA
Source: RNAcentral
UUCUUUAAGACAUAAUUUAAAGUACAAUCUGCUCAAUGAAUUUUAAAUAGCCGCAGUUUACUGUGCUAAGGUAGCAUAAUCACUAGCUUUUUAAUUAAAAGAUAGAAUGAAAGAUUAAACGAGAAAAAUACUGUCUCAUUUAAAAAAUUUAAAUUAACUUAAUAGUAAAAAACCUAUUACAUAUAAGUAAGACGACAAGACCCUGACAAACUUAACAUUUAGCUGGGGCGGCUAAUCAAAAAAACCUUAAUAUAAUCAACCCAACACAAAAAUGUCUAACCAAUAUAGAAAUAGUUACUGCAGGGAUAACAGCGCCACUUCUUUUAAAAGUUCAUAUUCAAAAAGAAAUCUACGACCUCGAUGUUGAAUUAAUUUACCUAUUAAAUGAAAAAGUUUGAUUAGGAGGUCUGUUCGACCUAUAAAAAAUU